This 457-nucleotide ribosomal RNA is filed under the name uncultured bacterium. RNAcentral describes it as "partial 16S ribosomal RNA". It matches the Rfam family "Bacterial small subunit ribosomal RNA", at positions 28 to 523 of the family's 1533-position model. The record is from RNAcentral.
GAUGAACGCUGGCGGCGUGCCUAAUACAUGCAAGUCGAGCGGUAAGGCCCUUCGGGGUACACGAGCGGCGGACGGCUGAGUAACACGUAGGAACCUACCCCAAACUGAGGGAUAAGCACCAGAAAUGGUGUCUAAUACCGCAUGUGCUCUACGGAGUAAAGCUUCGGCGGUUUGGGAAGGGCCUGCGUCCGAUUAGCUAGUUGGUGGUAUAAAAGACUACCAAGGCGACGAUCGGUAGCUGGUCUGAGAGGAUGAUCAGCCAGACUGGGACUGAGACACGGCCCAGACUCCUACGGGAGGCAGCAGUAGGGAAUUUUCCACAAUGGGCGAAAGCCUGAUGGAGCAACGCCGCGUGCAGGAUGAAUGCCUUCGGGUUGUAAACUGCUUUUAUCUGUGACGAAUAUGACGGUAGCAGAUGAAUAAGGACCUGCUAACUACGUGCCAGCAGCCGCCGUAA